Molecule: long non-coding RNA, 721 nt
Organism: Oncorhynchus tshawytscha (Chinook salmon)
Lineage: Eukaryota; Metazoa; Chordata; Actinopteri; Salmoniformes; Salmonidae
Source: Ensembl
AAAACCUGUUUCAGCUUUGUGUCGUUGUGGGGUACUGUGUCGUUGUGGGGUACUGUGUCGUUGUGGGGUACAGUGUCGUUGUGGGGUACUGUGUCGUUGUGGGGUACAGUGUCGUUGUGGGGUACAGUGUCGUUGUGGGGUACAGUGUCGUUGUGGGGUACAGUGUCGUUGUGGGGUACAGUGUCGUUGUGGGGUACAGUGUCGUUGUGGGGUAUUGUGGGGUACAGUGGCAUUGUGGGGUACAGUGGCAUUGUGGGGUACAGUGGCGUUGUGUAGUGUCGUAGUGGGGUACAGUGUCGUUGUGGGGUAUUGUGUCGUUGUGGGGUAUUGUGUCGUAGUGGGGUUGUGGGGUAUAGUGUCGUUGUGUGGUGUCGUUGUGGGGUACAGUGUCGUUGUGUGGUAUAGUGUCGUUGUGGGGUAUGGUGGCGUUGUGGGGUAUAGUGGCGUUGUGGGGUAUAGUGGGGUAUAGUGGCGUUGUGGGGUAUAGUGGCGUUGUGGGGUACAGUGUCGUUGUGGGGUACGGUGUCGUUGUGGGGUACAGUGUCGUUGUGGGGUACAGUGUCGUUGUGGGGUAUUGUGUCGUUGUGGGGUAUAGUGGGGUAUAGUGUCGUUGUGGGGUAUAGUGUCGUUGUGGGGUAUUGUGUCGUUGUGGGGUAUAGUGGGGUAUAGUGUCGUUGUGUGGGGUAUAGUGUCGUUGUGGGGUACAGUGUCGUUGUGGGGU